Molecule: long non-coding RNA, 257 nt
Filed under: Phoenix dactylifera (date palm)
Lineage: Eukaryota; Viridiplantae; Streptophyta; Magnoliopsida; Arecales; Arecaceae
Description: long non-coding RNA (PDAC_LNC018440)
Source: RNAcentral
GCUGUUCAAUUCUCCAUGAAAGCUUGAUCUCUUCAUUAGGGCAGGAUGAAGUCCUAACAAAGGCGACAACAGUUCUUGAAUUUUUUAUUUUGUUCUUGAAAUUGUAUGAACUUAAUUGAUCUUAUUGAAUAUCCUUUUACCUCAUGCUUAGGGUCUGUGAUUUUAAGUAUGAUGUUUAUGCAACUAUUCUUCAUGAUCACUGAGUAAAUAUAAGAUAGUCCAUGCUUAAGGAAGAUGUGGUGUGCUACCACCUUAGA